This 254-nucleotide ribosomal RNA is filed under the name uncultured bacterium. RNAcentral describes it as "partial 16S ribosomal RNA". It matches the Rfam family "Bacterial small subunit ribosomal RNA", at positions 524 to 776 of the family's 1533-position model. The record is from RNAcentral.
UACGUAGGGGGCAGGCGUUGUCCGGAUUCAUUGGGCGUAAAGAGCUCGUAGGCGGUUCAGUAAGUCGGGUGUGAAAGCUCCGAGCUCAACUCGGAGAGGCCACCCGAUACUGCUGUGACUUGAGUCCAGUAGAGGAGCGUGGAAUUCCUGGUGUAGCGGUGAAAUGCGCAGAUAUCAGGAGGAACACCAGCAGCGAAGGCGGCGCUCUGGGCUGGAACUGACGCUGAGGAGCGAAAGCGUGGGUAGCAAACAGG